Non-coding RNA from Paramuricea clavata, 74 nucleotides. Lineage: Eukaryota; Metazoa; Cnidaria; Anthozoa; Malacalcyonacea; Plexauridae. The record is from the annotation of a GenBank genome assembly.
GCCUCUGUAGCUCAGUUGGUUAGAGGCGCUGCACCGACAUCGCAGGGCCGCAAGUUCGAUUCCUGCCAGGGACC